This 497-nucleotide ribosomal RNA is filed under the name uncultured bacterium. Its description in RNAcentral is "partial 16S ribosomal RNA". It matches the Rfam family "Bacterial small subunit ribosomal RNA", at positions 28 to 507 of the family's 1533-position model. The record is from RNAcentral.
GAUGAACGCUGGCGGCGUGCCUAAUACAUGCAAGUCGAGCGAACAGACGAGGAGCUUGCUCCUUUGACGUUAGCGGCGGACGGGUGAGUAACACGUGGGUAACCUACCUAUAAGACUGGGAUAACUUCGGGAAACCGGAGCUAAUACCGGAUAAUAUUUCGAACCGCAUGGUUCGAUAGUGAAAGAUGGCUUUGCUAUCACUUAUAGAUGGACCUGCGCCGUAUUAGCUAGUUGGUAAGGUAACGGCUUACCAAGGCAACGAUACGUGGCCGACCUGAGAGGGUGAUCGGCCACACUGGAACUGAGACACGGUCCAGACUCCUACGGGAGGCAGCAGUAGGGAAUCUUCCGCAAUGGGCGAAAGCCUGACGGAGCAACGCCGCGUGAGUGAUGAAGGUCUUCGGAUCGUAAAACUCUGUUAUUAGGGAAGAACAAACGUGUAAGUAACUGUGCACGUCUUGACGGUACCUAAUCAGAAAGCCACGGCUAACUACGUG